Molecule: ribosomal RNA, 253 nt
Filed under: uncultured bacterium
Lineage: Bacteria
Description: partial 16S ribosomal RNA
Rfam family: Bacterial small subunit ribosomal RNA
Source: RNAcentral
UACAGAGGGUGCAAGCGUUAAUCGGAAUUACUGGGCGUAAAGCGUGCGUAGACGGUUAUGUAAGUCGGGCGUGAAAGCCCCGGGCUCAACCUGGGAAUGCCAUUCGAGACUGCAUAGCUAGGGUGCGGAAGAGGGAAGCGGAAUUUCCGGUGUAGCGGUGAAAUGCGUAGAUAUCGGAAGGAACACCAGUGGCGAAAGCGGCUUCCUGGUCCAGCACCGACGUUCAGGCACGAAAGCGUGGGGAGCAAACAGG